Molecule: long non-coding RNA, 3178 nt
Filed under: Sus scrofa (pig)
Lineage: Eukaryota; Metazoa; Chordata; Mammalia; Artiodactyla; Suidae
Description: lncRNA (ENSSSCG00030001228.1)
Source: RNAcentral
UUUUUUGUCUUUUAGGGCCAUAGGUGCAGCAUAUGGAAGUUCAAAGGCUAGGGAUCGAAUUAGAGCUGUAGCUGCUGGCCUGCACCACAGCCUCAGCAACAAUGGAUCUGAGCCACAUCUGUGAUCUACACCACAGCUCAUGGCAACACCAGAUCCUUAACCCACUGAGUGAGGUCAGGGAUUGAAUCUGUGUCCUCAUGGUUAAUAGGUUCAUUACCACUGAGCCACAACUAUAACUCUUCCCUAGAUUUUUAGAUCAUAAACAAUGGCAUAAGAGCCAAAGACAUGGUUGGGGUGGUUGGUUUGCCUGGUUUUCAAGAAUGGCACUCUGAACAAAGUGUCCCUUUUGCAAAUUAUGGUUGAAGUUCUUUUUGAUCUGUUGUAGUUUUCAAGCCAUAUUUUAUGAGUCCCUGAAAGACUUCUGACAGGUUCUCUUUUGCUUCAAUUAUCCCAAAUAAUUUUCUUUUCAUUUUGUUUCUUUUUACAGUCAGACCUACAGCACAUGGAAGUUCCCAGGCCAGGGGUUGAAUUGGAGCUGUAGCUGCCAGCCUGCAGUAACACUGGAUCUGAGUCACAUCUGCAACCUGCAACGCAGCUUGUGGCAAUGCUGGAUCCACUGAGCAAUGCCAGGGAUUGAACCCACAUCCUCAUGGACACUAUGUCAGGUUCUUAACCCACUGAACCACAAAGGGGAUGCCCUCCAAAUCAGUUUCUAUGUCAGGCAGCCAAUGAAUCUCAUUUGACAUACCCCCAGGGUUUCACAUCAAAUAUCCAGAAAUGGAUAUUGAUGGCCUUCAACUUCCUGUAACACUACUUUAAAAUUCCUCAUUACUUUAUCCCUUAUGAUCUAUUCACCUUCUGGAUGGGUUCCUUUAAACAGGACUUUAAAAAGACAAAAGAGUAUCAGCAAAAUAACGGAAGAACCCACAUCCUAAAUAUAAUGGCACAAGAAACAUCUCAAUAAAAAGUCAUGCUCCAGGUGUUCUCGCUGUGGCUCAGCAUAAACAAACCUGACUAGUAUCCAUGAGGAUGCAGGUUUGAGCCCCAGCCUUGCUCAGUGGGCCAAGGAUCCAGCAUUGCUCUGAACUGUGGUGUAGGUCACAGAUGUGACUCAGAUCUGGUGUUGCCACGGCUGUGACAUAGGCCGGCAGCUACAGCUCCGAUUCGACCCCUAGCCUGGGAACUUCCCUAAUGCUACACGCACAGCCCUAAAAAGCAAGACAAAAAAAAAAGAAGACAUAUUCCAAAAUCAACAAAAGUCAACAAUAAUAAAACUGACGUCUACAAUGAUGCAUAAUGAAGAACUGUAGGUACUCAAAAUUCAAAGCCAACAAACAAGAAAACAAACAACAAGAAAGAAAAGCUACAGCAGAAUCAGAAAAGGUACAGGUGGAAUCUCACUCGAUCUCACAUUUCACUGCAGCUUGACGAGUGAAACAAAAUGAAUUGAUUUUAUGACAAGGGCAUUCCAUCUGAGAAAAAGACACUUAGAUAAAACACCCCUAAGAACAAACACAGAAGUGUUUCUAACAAUAACUUUUGGGGCCUUGGGUUGUCCUAUCAGACUCUCGGGCAAGACGAUUAAAGAAAGCUGUUUUUUUCUCUUUUCUUUCCUUUUCUUUUUUAAUGUCUUUGAGAUUCACAAUUUUUAUGCUGACAAUUUUUCCCCGUAAUCAUGGCUGAUAAUGUCUCUACCACUGGGAAAUGUCCAAGUCUCAGAGCUUUUUCUCAGAUGAAAGUCAGACCUGUCACAUAUUUGAGGUUUAAGAUGGGAAAGGACAGUGAGGUUUGUUGGUGUGGGCUGCCUGGGAUUCAAAAUUCCUCUUUUUUUCCUUCUUACAGUCACACCUGCAGCAUAUAGAAGUUCCCAGGCUAAGGGCUGAAUCAGAGCUGCAGGUACCGACUGUGCCUCAGCCACAGCAGCGCCACACCCAAGCUGCAUCUGUGACCUACACUGCUGCUUGUGGCCACGCCGGAUUCUUAACCCACAGAGCAAGGCCAGGGAUUGAACCCGAAUCCUCACGGAGACGACGUUGGGUCCUUAACCUGCUGAGCAGUAUCCAUGAGGACGCUGGUUUGAUCCUUGGCCUUGCUCAGUGGGUUAAGGAUUCAGCGUUGCUGGGGGGCAGGUCACAGAAUCAGCUCGGAUUCUGUGUUGCUGUGGCUGUGGCGUAGGUGGGCAGCUGCACCUCUGAUUUGACCUCCAACUUGGGAAUCUCCAUAUGCUGCAGGCGCAGCCCUAAAAUUUUUUUUUUUUAAUUAAAAAAAAAAAAUCAAACCAGAAACUGUGAACAGUAAGGAGACCAUCUCUUUUCCCCCCUGCAAAGCUCAUGGGAGGGUUUCAUUCUAAUCUGCAUCAUGGUCUUUUGCGUCCAUAACAGGAAGAGCCACCAAGCGGGUCUCCCCAGUUUUCUAAAGCUGCAUUUCUGACUGCAAAGCCAGCUUCCUCCACAGCGGCCACGGUUGCUCUUUGCUCAGGUUCUCUCUGAAGACCUGGUCUCCCUUCCCUGGAAUGGAGAGGAGUGUCUCCCAAAUCAGUCCCAAGUCCUCAAAUGUGUGUGCUGGGUCUGUUUUGUGGCACAGAGUGGGGAAAAGGGAAAUCGAGGAAGCAAGCGAAAAGGAAACUUAUUCUGGCAGCUGUAUAAGCAGAGCAGAGAUGGACAAGCCACCUAGGGCCCCACAAGCCAGCUCGAGCGACCCUGGGCAUCAGCAGGGUCCAAGGGGCUCUCUUGGAACAGGGUCACCAAAACAGUGACAAAGGGAGAAAUGGGCUCACAUGUCUUCGAGGCUGCCCUUCAUUCAAAAAAUUAAUUAGCUAACUUUGAAAAGGCACUCCUUCCCCUCUUUGGCUAUUUUCUUUUUUCUUUCUUUUUUUUUUUUAUAUACACCCUUUUCCCCUGAAAGAAUAAAACUCCCUGUACGGCUGCUAUAUGAGUGUCCUAAAGCUGCCAAAAUAAAGUACCACAAAGUGAGUGCCUUACACAAGCAGGACCUUAUACUCUCACAGCUCUGAGGCUAAAAUCAAGUCCAAAAUCAAGGUGCUUGUAGGACUCCACUCGCUCCGGAGGCUCAGAGAGGAGGCUGUGGUCCAGCCUUUCUCUUAUCUCCGCCAUCCCUGGCAUUCCUGGCUUGUAGAAGCAUCAUUCCCAUCCCUCACCCUGUGAGCUCUUUCCCUCUG